Molecule: ribosomal RNA, 447 nt
Filed under: uncultured bacterium
Lineage: Bacteria
Description: bacterial SSU rRNA
Rfam family: Bacterial small subunit ribosomal RNA
Source: RNAcentral
AGGGGUCUUGACGGAGCUUGCUCUUGAUAGACGACCGGCGCACGGGUGAGUAACGCGUAUCCAACCUGCCCGUUCAUUUUGGGAUAGCCUUCCAAAGGGAGAUUAAUACCGAAUAACAUAUCAGAAUUGCAUGAUACUGAUAUGAAAGAUCCGUCGAUGAAGGAUGGGGAUGCGUUUCAUUAGGUAGUAGGCGGGGUAACGGCCACCUAGCCAACGAUGAAUAGGGGUUCUGAGAGGAAGGUCCCCCACACUGGAACUGAGACACGGUCCAGACUCCUACGGGAGGCAGCAGUGAGGAAUAUUGGUCAAUGGUCGGAAGACUGAACCAGUCAAGUAGCGUGAAGGAUGAAGGUUCUAUGGAUUGUAAACUUCUUUUAUACGGGAAUAAAACAUCCCACGUGUGGGAUCUUGUAUGUACCGUAUGAAUAAGCAUCGGCUAACUCCGUG